This 475-nucleotide ribosomal RNA is filed under the name uncultured bacterium. Its description in RNAcentral is "bacterial SSU rRNA". It matches the Rfam family "Bacterial small subunit ribosomal RNA", at positions 15 to 507 of the family's 1533-position model. The record is from RNAcentral.
GAUCAUGGCUCAGGACGAACGCUGGCGGCGUGCUUAACACAUGCAAGUCGAACGGUAAGGCCCUUCGGGGUACACGAGUGGCGAACGGGUGAGUAACACGUGGGUGAUCUGCCCUGCACUUCGGGAUAAGCCUGGGAAACUGGGUCUAAUACCGGAUAGGACCAUGGACUUCACGGUUUGUGGUGGAAAGCUUUUGCGGUGUGGGAUGGGCCCGCGGCCUAUCAGCUUGUUGGUGGGGUAAUGGCCUACCAAGGCGACGACGGGUAGCCGGCCUGAGAGGGUGUCCGGCCACACUGGGACUGAGAUACGGCCCAGACUCCUACGGGAGGCAGCAGUGGGGAAUAUUGCACAAUGGGCGCAAGCCUGAUGCAGCGACGCCGCGUGAGGGAUGACGGCCUCCGGGUUGUAAACCUCUUUCAAUAGGGACGAAGCGCAAGUGACGGUACCUAUAGAAGAAGCACCGGCCAACUACGUG